AAUGGGCGCAAGCCUGAUGCAGCGACGCCGCGUGAGGGAUGACGGCCUUCGGGUUGUAAACCUCUUUCAGCAGGGACGAAGCGAGAGUGACGGUACCUGCAGAAGAAGCACCGGCCAACUACGUGCCAGCAGCCGCGGUAAUACGUAGGGUGCGAGCGUUGUCCGGAAUUACUGGGCGUAAAGAGCUCGUAGGUGGUUUGUCACGUUGUUCGUGAAAACUCACAGCUUAACUGUGGGCGUGCGGGCGAUACGGGCAGACUAGAGUACUGCAGGGGAGACUGGAAUUCCUGGUGUAGCGGUGGAAUGCGCAGAUAUCAGGAGGAACACCGGUGGCGAAGGCGGGUCUCUGGGCAGUAACUGACGCUGAGGAGCGAAAGCGUGGGGAGCGAACAGGAUUAGAUACCCUGGUAGUCCACGCCGUAAACGGUGGGUUCUAGGUGUGGGUUUCCUUCCUUGGGAUCCGUGCCGUAGCUAACGCAUUAAGUACCCCGCCUGGGGAGUACGGCC
This 507-nucleotide ribosomal RNA is filed under the name Mycolicibacterium sphagni. RNAcentral's name for it is "bacterial SSU rRNA". It matches the Rfam family "Bacterial small subunit ribosomal RNA", at positions 370 to 887 of the family's 1533-position model. The record is from RNAcentral. Lineage: Bacteria; Bacillati; Actinomycetota; Actinomycetes; Mycobacteriales; Mycobacteriaceae.